UGAGCAAUCUGCCCUUCACAUCGGAAUAACCAUUGGAAACGAUGGCUAAUACCGAAUAUGACUUCGGAUCGCAUGAUCUGAAGUGGAAAGCUCCGGCGGUGAAGGAUGAGCUCGCGGCCUAUCAGCUUGUUGGUGGGGUGAUGGCCUACCAAGGCGACGACGGGUAGCCGGCCUGAGAGGGUGUCCCGGCCACACGUGGGACUGAGAUACCGGCCCAGACUCCGUAACGGG
This 231-nucleotide ribosomal RNA is filed under the name uncultured bacterium. RNAcentral's name for it is "partial 16S ribosomal RNA". It matches the Rfam family "Bacterial small subunit ribosomal RNA", at positions 118 to 345 of the family's 1533-position model. The record is from RNAcentral.